CCAAUAGGGUAUAUUAAAGUUGUUGCAGUUAAAAAGCUCGUAGUUGAAUUUCGGGGUUCUACCGUUGGUCGGGCAAUAGUCUGUACUGGCGUGUGGAAUUUCUACCUUCUGGGGAACUAUCAUGUUAUUUAUUUAGCGUGGUGGGAAACCAGGACCUUUACCUUGAAAAAAUUAGAGUGUUCAAAGCAGGCUUACGUCUGAAUACAUUAGCAUGGAAUAAUAAAAUAGGACGGUGGUCCUGUUUUGUUGGUUUCUGAAUCACCGUAAUGAUUAAUAGGGAUAGUUGGGGGCAUUAGUAUUCAAUUGUCAGAGGUGAAAUUCUUGGAUUUAUUGAAGACUAACUUCUGCGAAAGCAUUUGCCAAGGAUGUUUUCAUUAAUCAAGAACGAAAGUUAGGGGAUCGAAGACGAUCAGAUACCGUCGUAGUCUUAACCAUAAACUAUGCCGACUAGGGAUCGGACGAUGUUAAUUUUUCUUGACUCGUUCGGCGCCUUACG
Molecule: ribosomal RNA, 496 nt
Filed under: uncultured Glomeromycotina
Lineage: Eukaryota; Fungi; Glomeromycota
Description: partial small subunit ribosomal RNA
Rfam family: Eukaryotic small subunit ribosomal RNA
Source: RNAcentral